Long non-coding RNA from Drosophila biarmipes, 729 nucleotides. RefSeq lists it as uncharacterized. The transcript has 2 exons. NCBI's taxonomy places the organism in Eukaryota, Metazoa, Arthropoda, Insecta, Diptera, Drosophilidae. The record is from RefSeq and is a predicted model, not a curated record.
CGUAGAACGCAAAAAAUACUUUCAUCAUCAUUUGUAAUCAAUUUUAUCAAGAUACAAGUGCCAACAAAAUGAUCUUUGGGCUGCAGACACUUAGCAUCAACUGCCAAGAGCCCGUCUUAUCCUGCCGCUUAGUACAUAUUUUGCAACGACGAGCGUCCCUUUGGCCGCAAGUUGCAACCUCUUCUGAACCUUAACAAAUAGCGACGAAAAUUGCAACAAAUGUGUUACGAAUGGUUCGUGAUCGUGGCAUGACAGAAUGUCGCCGGCAACAACAGGCCAGGCGAGCUGGGCUGGAGAAUUGUAGACCAAUGAGGAAAUCGUUACCUUGGCUUAAACCACUUAAACAUCACGAGUUGAACUCUUAACAGCCUGGGACUGCAGUCGAAACUUUGGCCAACGCUGGGAGAAGACUUUUGCCGCGCUCCGCUGAUGUUGAUGAGGAGGAGAUGACGACGACGACAACAAAGAAGUUGACAACAGCAACUGCAGAUACAGUGCGGAAAAGUCCUAGCAAGAUCGUAAUUCUAUCAAAUUCUUAAACUGAAUCAAUUUGGAUUUUUAACUGUGACCACAAGAAAUGGUUCCCAUAAUUUUGAUCCAUCUGCCUCAUAUAUUUUCAAUUUUGUAUUACCAAGCAAUCUGAACGGUACACUACAAUAUAGUAGGCUUGAGGAUUGGUAAACUAUAACUCAAAAGCCAAAAUAAAUUAUCUACCUAAAUCUGAGCAAA